UCUGCAAAAAUAGAAGGUCUAGCCUGCCCAGUGACCAAGUUAAACGGCCGCGGUACCCUAACCGUGCGAAGGUAGCGCAAUCACUUGUUCUUUAAAUGAGGACUAGUAUGAACGGCAUCACGAGGGUUACACUGUCUCCCACCUCUAAUCAGUGAAACUGAUCCCCCCGUGAAGAAGCGGGAAUAAACUUAUAAGACGAGAAGACCCCAUGGAGCUUUAAACUCAGUACCAAUCACCUAUAACCACACCACAAUAACCCGGUGAUCCUGAUUACUAGUUUUAGGUUGGGGUGACCACGGAGCAUAAUUAAACCUCCAUGUUGAAAAACUUCCUCUAAUCCAAGAGUGACAACUCUAAGAAUCAAAAACCGACAUACAUUGACCCAAAUAUUUUGAUCAACGAAC
RNAcentral lists this ribosomal RNA (404 nucleotides) under Elachistocleis surinamensis group sp. ABGD cluster 15. Its description in RNAcentral is "partial large subunit ribosomal RNA". It matches the Rfam family "Bacterial large subunit ribosomal RNA", at positions 1836 to 2457 of the family's 2925-position model. Lineage: Eukaryota; Metazoa; Chordata; Amphibia; Anura; Microhylidae. The record is from RNAcentral.